GCUGUAGCUCAGAGGUAAAGUGUUUGCCUCGCAUGUGUAAAGCACUGGGUUCGAGUCCCAGCAGAACA
RNAcentral lists this transfer RNA (68 nucleotides) under Marmota monax (woodchuck). Its description in RNAcentral is "tRNA.Ala". It matches the Rfam family "tRNA", at positions 5 to 66 of the family's 71-position model. From Rfam's summary of the family: Transfer RNA (tRNA) molecules are approximately 80 nucleotides in length. Their secondary structure includes four short double-helical elements and three loops (D, anti-codon, and T loops). Further hydrogen bonds mediate the characteristic L-shaped molecular structure. tRNAs have two regions of fundamental functional importance: the anti-codon, which is responsible for specific mRNA codon recognition, and the 3' end, to which the tRNAs corresponding amino acid is attached (by aminoacyl-tRNA synthetases). tRNAs cope with the degeneracy of the genetic code in two manners: having more than one tRNA (with a specific anti-codon) for a particular amino acid; and 'wobble' base-pairing, i.e. permitting non-standard base-pairing at the 3rd anti-codon position. The record is from RNAcentral. Lineage: Eukaryota; Metazoa; Chordata; Mammalia; Rodentia; Sciuridae.